Molecule: ribosomal RNA, 460 nt
Filed under: uncultured bacterium
Lineage: Bacteria
Description: partial 16S ribosomal RNA
Rfam family: Bacterial small subunit ribosomal RNA
Source: RNAcentral
ACUACGGGUGGCAGCAGUGAGGAAUAUUGGUCAAUGGGCGGAAGCCUGAACCAGCCAAGUAGCGUGCAGGAUGACGGCCCUACGGGUUGUAAACUGCUUUUAUACGGGAAUAACGCGCCUUACGUGUAGGGCUUUGCAUGUACCGUAUGAAUAAGGACCGGCUAAUUCCGUGCCAGCAGCCGCGGUAAUACGGAAGGUCCGGGCGUUACCCGGAUUUAUUGGGUUUAAAGGGAGCGUAGGCCGCAUGUCAAGCGUGCUGUGAAAUGUCCGGGCUCAACCCGGGCCUUGCAGCGCGAACUGGCGUGCUUGAGUCCGCGGAAGGCAGGCGGAAUUCGUCGUGUAGCGGUGAAAUGCUUAGAUAUGACGAAGAACCCCGAUUGCGAAGGCAGCUUGCUGCAGCGGAACUGACGCUGAUGCUCGAAAGCGCGGGUAUCGAACAGGAUUAGAUACCCCAGUAGUC